GAGAACGUAGCGAAAUGCGAUACUUGGUGUGAAUUGCAGAAUCCCGUGAACCAUCGAGUCUUUGAACGCAAGUUGCGCCCGAAGCCAUCAGGUUGAGGGCACGUCUGCCUGGGCGUCACAUAUCGUUGCCCAAUGCCUAUUGCAGUGCAAUAGGAAUUUCUAGGGCGAAUGAUGGCUUCCCGUGAGCGUUGUUGCCUCGCGGUUGGUUGAAAAUCGAGUCCUUGGUAGGGUGUGCCAUGGUAGAUGGUGGUCGAGUUAGAACGAUACCGAUCAUGUGCAUGCUCCCCAAAAUAUGGCCUCUAUGACCCACACGCGUCUUUUGACGCUCAUGACGAGACCUCAGGUCAGGCGGGGCUACCCGCUGAAUUUAAGCAUAUCAAUAAGCGGAGGA
Molecule: unclassified non-coding RNA, 391 nt
Filed under: soil metagenome
Description: partial contains 5.8S ribosomal RNA, internal transcribed spacer 2, and large subunit ribosomal RNA
Rfam family: 5.8S ribosomal RNA (bases 2-118)
Source: RNAcentral